AGAGAUUUGGCCAAUAUGUCUGCUAACUUUACAGAGGUGGAAAUAUGGUAAAGUGUGAUGAUCCCUUCUUGGAUCUUAUCUCUUACAAAAUGACAAUCCACUUCUAUGUAUUUUGUACAUUCAUUAAACACGAGGUUCAUUACAAUGUGUACUACUGCUUGACUUUCACAGUAGACUGGUAAAGGUAACUUACAAUUUUUAGUCAACUUUUCCAAUAAUCAUUCUAGCCAGACUAAUUCCCUAACCACCUUUCUCACUGUUCUAUACUCUGCCUCUGCUGAUGACAAGGAUACACUGGGUUGCUUCUUUGAUUUUCAGCUAAUGGGACUGUGUCCCAUAAGUACAAUGUAUCCACUAACUAAUCUUCUUGAAUCUGCACAACUGUACCAAUCUAAGUCACAGUAAGCAUUGAUCUUGAAGCUAGGUUUGUAGGACAUGAAGACACCUUAAGUCAAGUCAUUCUUUAAUUAUCUUAAUAAAUGAUAAGCAACUUUGAGAUGUGUCUCUCUUGGUGCUUGCAAUAGUUAACUAAGGUAAUGGACAGUGUAUGUGAUUUCCAGUCUUGUGUUGGUAAGAAAGUUCAACUUUCCUACUAAUUUUCUAUCGUGAGUAGGGUCAGUAAGUAAGAAUCCAUCAAAUGAACUUUGUUUUUCAGUAAAGUCCAGUGGAGUUGUUUUGUUGCUAUAGGUUCAUAGUCAAAUUCUCUAACCAGAUCAGUAGCAAACUUCCUUUGUGUGAUCAGGACACUAUCACUCCUAUUCAAGAUCUCUAACCCCAAUAAAUAGCAAAGUCUUCCCAAAUCCUUGAUUUUGAAUUGAUUGUGUAGAAAAUUCUUUAGUGCCUUGAUCUAUUCUAAGUCUGUUCCAAUUUGAUUAUAUCCCCUUGAGUACAGUGCCUUGGCUAAUUUUUCAUACCAUUGUCUACUUGCUUGUUUUAGUCCAUAAAGGGACUUUUUCAAUUUGCAGACCAUGGUUUUAUCAUUAACCAGCAAACCCUGUGGAAACUCCAUGGAUGCUUUCUCACAUAGAUCACCAUGUACGAAGGCAAUAUUAACAUCAAACUGGUAAAAUUCCCAACCUUUCUUGGUAGCCAAUCCAAUCAGUAUCCUCAUAGUUAUCCUAUUGACACUGGUGAGAAGGAUUCUAUGCAGUCAAUUCCAAAUUAUUGUGUUUAUCUUUUUACCAAUAGCCUUGUCUUGUAUCUCUUUAUCGACCCAUCAACAUUGUAUUUGAUCUUGUAUACCCACUUACAACCAAUGGGUGUGUUUCCUGUUGGGAGACGUGCAAGAUCCCAAGUGUUGUUUACAUGCAAUGCCUCAAAUUCUUGAGUCAUGGUUGCCUGCCAUGCAGUGCUCAAUAUUGCAUCCUCUUAGAAUCAUGUGAUAUAUGUUGCACUAAUUUUUCAUUGACAUGACAAAAAGAGGUGAUAGAUGUUAUCCAGUUUCUAGAGAUGCUGGUUCACUUGAUUGAGGUGUGUGGUUUGUUUAAGAGUGUAGAUUAGGAAAUUUAUAGGUGUAUUCUUUCAGAUAAGUGGGGAAUAUAUGUGUUCUAGUUGAUCUUCUAGGUGGUGGUUCUGAGGCCUCAAUGGUAGUCUGGUGAGGUGAAGGGGCAAAUUCAUGAGUAUCUAUAGGAGUAAAUGAUUCAUUGGUUUCAUUUGUAUCUUUUGUAGUAUUGGUGGUGGCAUUUCUAAUACUAGUGACAUUAUUAUGAAAUUUAGCAUCUAACAUGUAAUCACUAGCAAGAGUACUAUUAUUAGAAUUCAAGCUCUUUGAAUUAGGACUCGUUAUUUUCAAAAUAGCUCGAAAACUAAAAUCAAAAAAAGACAAAGCAGAAGGAAAUAUGUUCUCAUAAAACACUACAUCUCUGGAAAUGUGUAUUCUCUUGGAACUCAAGUCUAAGACUUUGUAUCCUUUGGUAUUGAAGGGACGUCCAACAAAGAUAUGGAGUUUUGAUCUUUGUUCAAACUUGUAUCUGUGGCACUUAAGGGUGAUAGGCAAACAUAAACAUACAAAAGCCUUGAAAUGUGAGUAAGUGGGGUAUGUUUGGUAUAUCUUCUCAAAAGGGGUUUUGUUUUGAAGAGUGGCAAAGGGUACUCUAUUUAUCAGGUAUGUUGUAGUUAGAAUGCAUUCACCCAAAUAUUGCAUGGGUAGUUUUAAAUGGUACAACAAUGCCCCCUGUGGUUUCAAGGAGGUACUUGUGUUUUCUGUCUACCACACUAUUUUGUUAUGGUGUGUAGGGAUA
Molecule: long non-coding RNA, 2240 nt
Filed under: Capsicum annuum
Lineage: Eukaryota; Viridiplantae; Streptophyta; Magnoliopsida; Solanales; Solanaceae
Description: long non-coding RNA (CANN_LNC018700)
Source: RNAcentral